GAUGAACGCUGGCGGCAGGCCUAACACAUGCAAGUCGAACGGUAACAGGAAACAGCUUGCUGUUUCGCUGACGAGUGGCGGACGGGUGAGUAAUGUCUGGGAAACUGCCUGAUGGAGGGGGAUAACUACUGGAAACGGUAGCUAAUACCGCAUAACGUCGCAAGACCAAAGAGGGGGACCUUCGGGCCUCUUGCCAUCGGAUGUGCCCAGAUGGGAUUAGCUAGUAGGUGGGGUAACGGCUCACCUAGGCGACGAUCCCUAGCUGGUCUGAGAGGAUGACCAGCCACACUGGAACUGAGACACGGUCCAGACUCCUACGGGAGGCAGCAGUGGGGAAUAUUGCACAAUGGGCGCAAGCCUGAUGCAGCCAUGCCGCGUGUAUGAAGAAGGCCUUCGGGUUGUAAAGUACUUUCAGCGGGGAGGAAGGGAGUAAAGUUAAUACCUUUGCUCAUUGACGUUACCCGCAGAAGAAGCACCGGCUAACUCCGUGCCAGCAGCCGCCGUAA
This 506-nucleotide ribosomal RNA is filed under the name uncultured bacterium. RNAcentral's name for it is "partial 16S ribosomal RNA". It matches the Rfam family "Bacterial small subunit ribosomal RNA", at positions 28 to 523 of the family's 1533-position model. The record is from RNAcentral.